This 614-nucleotide ribosomal RNA is filed under the name Polystoma umthakathi. RNAcentral describes it as "bacterial SSU rRNA". It matches the Rfam family "Eukaryotic small subunit ribosomal RNA", at positions 1343 to 1831 of the family's 1831-position model. The record is from RNAcentral. Lineage: Eukaryota; Metazoa; Platyhelminthes; Monogenea; Polystomatidea; Polystomatidae.
CUAGCCUGCUAAAUAGUACACCGGUAAAUCGUGUUCGUACAGAAUGCAAUGUUAAUUAUGUGCGAUGUUGUCAAUAAUGGCAAUGCAUUAUAAUGUACUGUUGUUGUUGGUGAUAUCUGUGCAUUUUGGCAUGGCUUUCUGACGAACACUAUGCAGGUGAAACUUCUUAGAGGGACAAGUUGAACUUAAAACAGCACGAAAUUGAGCAAUAACAGGUCUGUGAUGCCCUUAGAUGUCCGGGGCCGCACGCGCGCUACAAUGACAGUACCAGUGUGUAUGAUGACCUUGCCUGAAAAGGUUGGGCAAACCGUUCCAUUACUGUCGUGACAGGGAUCGGGGUUUGUAAUUAUCCCCCGUGAACGAGGAAUUCCCAGUAAGUGCAAGUCAUAAGCUUGUGCUGAUUACGUCCCUGCCCUUUGUACACACCGCCCGUCGCUACUACCGAUUGAAUGGUUUGGCAAGGCCCUCAGAUUGGCACCAUUGUAGUAUUUCGUUUCCACAAUUUAGUGGUACGUUUGCUCGACAGGUAUUGAGAAGAGGACCAAACUUGAUCAUUUAGAGGAGGUAAAAGUCGUAACAAGGUUUCCGUAGGUGAACCUGCGGAAGGAUCAUUA